CCUACGGGUGACAGCAGUGAGGAAUAUUGGUCAAUGGACGAGAGUCUGAACCAGCCAAGUAGCGUGAAGGAUGACUGCCCUAUGGGUUGUAAACUUCUUUUAUUUGGGAAUAAAAUGUUCCACGUGUGGGAUUUUGUAUGUACCAUAUGAAUAAGGAUCGGCUAACUCCGUGCCAGCAGCCGCGGUAAUACGGAGGAUACGAGCGUUAUCCGGAUUUAUUGGGGUUAAAGGGAGCGUAGGUGGAGUGUUAAGUCAGUUGUGAAAGUUGGCGGCUCAACCGUAAAAUUGCAGUUGAAACUGGCAGUCUUGAGGACAGUAGAGGUGGGUGGAAUUCGUGGUGUAGCGGUGAAAGGCUUAGAUAUCACGAAGAACUCCGAGUGCGAAGGCAGCUCACUGGACUGCAACUGACACUGAGGCUCGAAAGUGUGGGUAUCAAACAGGAUUAGAUACCCUUGUAGUC
This 460-nucleotide ribosomal RNA is filed under the name uncultured bacterium. RNAcentral describes it as "partial 16S ribosomal RNA". It matches the Rfam family "Bacterial small subunit ribosomal RNA", at positions 338 to 795 of the family's 1533-position model. The record is from RNAcentral.